UGGGGAAUAUUGGGCAGUGGGCGCAAGCCUGACCCAGCAACGCCGCGUGAAGGAAGAAGGCUUUCGGGUUGUAAACUUCUUUUGUCAGGGACGAGCAGAAGACGGUACCUGACGAAUAAGCCACGGCUAACUACGUGCCAGCAGCCGCGGUAAUACGUAGGUGGCAAGCGUUGUCCGGAAUUACUGGGUGUAAAGGGAGCGUAGGCGGGAAGACAAGUUGAAUGUGAAAUGCAGAGGCUCAACCUCUGAACUGCGUUCAAAACUGCCAUUCUUGAGUGAAGUAGAGGUAAGCGGAAUUCCUAGUGUAGCGGUGAAAUGCGUAAAUAUUAGGAGGAACACCAGUGGCGAAGGCGGCUUACUGGGCUUUAACUGACGCUGAGGCUCGAAAGCGUGGGUAGCAAACAGGAUUAGAUACCCUGGUAGU
This 424-nucleotide ribosomal RNA is filed under the name uncultured Clostridium sp. RNAcentral's name for it is "bacterial SSU rRNA". It matches the Rfam family "Bacterial small subunit ribosomal RNA", at positions 355 to 794 of the family's 1533-position model. Lineage: Bacteria; Bacillati; Bacillota; Clostridia; Eubacteriales; Clostridiaceae. The record is from RNAcentral.